GCCUGGGCGGCUCAGUAGGUUAAAGCGUCCGACUUCGUCUCAGGUCAUGAUCUCACUGUUUGUGAGUUCGAGUCCCACCUCGGGCU
This 86-nucleotide transfer RNA is filed under the name Felis catus (domestic cat). It matches the Rfam family "tRNA". Rfam says of the family: Transfer RNA (tRNA) molecules are approximately 80 nucleotides in length. The record is from Rfam by way of RNAcentral. Lineage: Eukaryota; Metazoa; Chordata; Mammalia; Carnivora; Felidae.